ACGCGUUGUCGAAUGAUCCCGUAUUUCUGAAGAAAGUUGUUCAACUAACGGAUUUACUGCAACCAGUUUUUGACACACCUACUGGUUUACCAUAUCGUCAUAUCAAUAUUUUGACUGGGGAACCAAAUCGAACUAACGAGAAAAACUUUUUGGCAGAAGUUGCUACAUUACACCUGGAAUACAACUAUCUGACCGAUAUCACUGGAAAUCCUACUUAUCGGCAAAGGGUGGAUGUUAUCCGAAAUUUUUUGAAUCAAGUCCCUAAACCAUAUAAUGGCUUAUAUCCUAGCGAACUCAAUGUCAUUACUGGAGAGUGGACGUCCGAUCAAUGGGACCACCCACGGACAGUAUUUUUGAGUACUUUUUAAAAUCAUAUAUUGAAACCGGACUUCCAGAUACUUUAGGGCUACAAAUGUACUACGAUUCAAUAAACGCCUUUUUUGACAAUGGUUUAAUCCAAACGUCAAGUCCAAGUAAUCUUGAAUACAAUUCUGAAAUGGUUAAUGGCACCGCUGACCCUGUGGUGCAUCAUUUGACUUGUUUUGCCGGUGGAAUGCUGGCAUUGGGAGUUUAUUGGAUGGGAAGCGAACACCCAAAUGCAACGAGGGAUAUGCAACUCGCAAUUAAUUUCACAAAUACAUGUUACGAGUCAUAUCUUCGAAGUGUUCCAAAAUUGGGUCCAGUAAGAUUUAGAUUUGAUGAAGACGAGGAAGCCGUCGGAAUCUCUGAAACGGAUCGGGAUUGGAAAUUGAGACCCGAGCUUAUCGAGACUUUUGUGAUCCUCUUCAGAAUCAGGGGGGACACAAAGUAUCGAGAUUGGGGGUGGGAAAUUGCCCAGAAUAUUGAAAGAUAUUGCAAGGCCGGCCCAGGUAAAGGGUAGUCGGGAAUUGUGGAUGUUUACCAAAAUAUUCCGGAACAGGAUGACGUGCAACAGACGUACUUUUUGGCUGAAGUUCUCAAGUACCUUUAUCUAUAAUAAUUGGAUUACACGGAGUUAAGUGGAAAAGUCGAAGAAAAAGUUUUGCUUUAUUUUGUCAAUAUUUCGAAUGCUAUCUGCUAUUCAUUAUCAAGACAUUUACAAGAUGGGAAAUUUGUUACAAGAUUUCGUGUAAUGUUUCCUUUAUCUAUUGUUCAGCACACCUGACUUGAUGCAACUCGAUCAAUGGGUGUUUAAUACGGAAGCUCACGCUUUUCCCAGGAGGUUUUAAUUUUUUGCAGUUUGUAACUAAGAUUAUAAUAUGGACAUGGUCAUUGAUGUAAAAGAAACUGCAAAAAUUUCAAUUUUCAUAACGUGGGAUUAUUUGACACUUACAUAGGCGUUACAGUGGCCCGACCCUUGUAAAUAUGACGAGUAUAUGAUUACGUUGGUAAAAAAAUAUGGUGUUCCAGGAGGAUGAGCAAGUGACAAUGCUACUUUUUUUAAUGUGUGAAAGGUGUAUUUCCCGUUACAAUCUUAGUGUAAAGUCAAUUACUUCAAAUAUUUUACUUAUUUUAAUUGUAUUUUAACCCGGAAGCUUUUCCUCCAUGCUUUAUUGUUUUAGUACAAAAACAUAAAUGACCAACAUUUUGAUAACUAUG
Molecule: RNA transcript, 1578 nt
Organism: Folsomia candida
Lineage: Eukaryota; Metazoa; Arthropoda; Collembola; Entomobryomorpha; Isotomidae
Exons: 6
Source: RefSeq, a predicted model, not a curated record